RNAcentral lists this ribosomal RNA (1307 nucleotides) under uncultured bacterium. RNAcentral describes it as "bacterial SSU rRNA". It matches the Rfam family "Bacterial small subunit ribosomal RNA", at positions 27 to 1381 of the family's 1533-position model. The record is from RNAcentral.
GGAUGAACGCUGGCGGCAUGCCUAAUACAUGCAAGUCGUGCGGAAAGGCCCCUUCGGGGGUACUCGAGCGGCGGACGGCAGAGUAACGCGUAGGAACAUACCCCAAAGUGAGGGAUAACUGCUCGAAAGAGUAGCUAAUACCGCAUGUGGUCUUCGGAUUAAAGCCUUAGGGCGCUUUGGGAAUGGCCUGCGUUCGAUUAGCUAGUUGGUGAGGUAAAUGCUCACCAAGGCGACGAUCGAUAGCUGGUCUGAGAGGAUGAUCAGCCUGGCUGGAACUGAGACACGGUCCAGACUCCUACGGGAGGCAGCAGUAGGGAAUUUUCCACAAUGGGCGAAAGCCUGAUGGAGCAAUGCCGCGUGCAGGAUGAAGGCCCUCGGGUCGUAAACUGCUUUUAUGUGAGAAGAAUAUGACGGUAACACAUGAAUAAGGGUCGGCUAACUACGUGCCAGCAGCCGCGGUCAUACGUAGGACCCAAGCGUUAUCCGGAAUUACUGGGCGUAAAGAGUUGCGUAGGUGGCAUUAUAAGUGGAGCGUGAAAGCGUGCGGCUCAACCGCAUUAUUGCGUUCUAAACUGUAAAGCUUGAGUAUGGGAGAGGUAGAUGGAAUUUCUAGUGUAGGAGUGAAAUCCGUAGAUAUUAGAAGGAACACCGAUGGCGUAGGCAGUCUACUGGCCCAUUACUGACACUAAGGCACGAAAGCGUGGGUAGCAAACGGGAUUAGAUACCCCGGUAGUCCACGCUGUAAACUAUGGAUGCUAGCUGUGACACACAUCGACCUGUGUCGUAGCGAAGUUAACGCGUUAAGCAUCCCGCCUGGGGAGUACGGUCGCAAGAUUAAAACUCAAAGGAAUUGACGGGGACCCGCACAAGCGGUGGAGCGUGUUGUUUAAUUCGAUGGUAAGCGAAGAACCUUACCAAGGCUUGAAAUCCCGAGAAGGCACUCGAAAGAGAGCUGUGCUUUAUUGAACUCGGUGACAGGUGUUGCAUGGCCGUCGUCAGCUCGUGUCGUGAGAUGUUUGGUUAAGUCCAUCAACGAGCGCAACCCUUGUAGUUAGUUGAAUUUCUCUAGCUAGACUGCCCUGGUAACAGGGAGGAAGGAGGGGAUGAUGUCAGGUCAGUAUUACCCUUACGCCUUGGGCUACAAACACGCUACAAUGGCCGGUACAAAGGGCUGCCAACCCGCGAGGGGGAGCAAAUCCCAUCAAAACCGGUCUCAGUUCGGAUUGCAGGCUGAAACUCGCCUGCAUGAAGCUGGAAUCGCUAGUAACGGUAGGUCAGCACACUACCGUGAAUACGUUCCCGGGUCU